UAAGCGGAGGAAAAGAAACUNACAAGGNNUCCCCUAGUAACUGCGAGUGAAGCGGGAAAAGCUCAAAUUUAAAAUCUGGUGGUCUUUGGCCAUNCGAGUUGUAAUUUAGAGAAGUGUCUUCCGCGCUGGACCGUGCACAAGUCUCCUGGAAUGGAGCGUCAUAGAGGGUGAGAAUNCCGUCUUUGGCAUGGACACACCAGGGCUUUUGUGAUGCGCUCUCGAAGAGUCGAGUUGUUUGGGAAUGCGGCUCAAAAUGGGUGGUGAACUCCAUCUAAAGCUAAAUAUUGGCGAGAGACCGAUAGCGAACAAGUACCGUGAGGGAAAGAUGAAAAGCACUUUGGAAAGAGAGUGAAACAGUACGUGAAAUUGUUGAAAGGGAAACGCUUGAAGUCAGUCACGUCGACCGAGACUCAGCCUUGCCUCGGCUUGGUGUACUUCUCGGCUGACGGGUCAGCAUCAAUUUUGCCCCUUGGAUAAUGGCGAGGGAAAUGUGACACCUUUAUGGUGUGUUAUAGUCUCUCGUCGCAUGCAAGGGUUGGGAUUGAGGAACUCAGCACGCGCCUUUUGGUGUCGGGGCUUUGCCCACGAUACGUGCUUAGGAUGUUGGCAUAAUGGCUUUAAACGACC
RNAcentral lists this ribosomal RNA (627 nucleotides) under uncultured Russulaceae. RNAcentral's name for it is "LSU rRNA". It matches the Rfam family "Eukaryotic large subunit ribosomal RNA", at positions 47 to 649 of the family's 3401-position model. The record is from RNAcentral. Lineage: Eukaryota; Fungi; Basidiomycota; Agaricomycetes; Russulales; Russulaceae.